Molecule: ribosomal RNA, 717 nt
Filed under: uncultured fungus
Lineage: Eukaryota; Fungi
Description: eukaryotic LSU rRNA
Rfam family: Eukaryotic large subunit ribosomal RNA
Source: RNAcentral
CCCGCUGAACUUAAGCAUAUCAAUAAGCGGAGGAAAAGAAACUAACAAGGAUUCCCCUAGUAACGGCGAGUGAAGCAGGAAGAGCUCAAAUUUAAAAUCUGGUUUGCUUGCAAAUCCGAGUUGUAGUCUGAAGAAACGUUUUCCAUGAAAAUCGAGGCACAAGUCCUUUGGAACAGGGCAUCAUAGAGGGUGAGAAUCCCGUCCAUGGUCUCGAAUCUUUCAUUUUGUGAUACGUUUUCUAAGAGUCAGGUUGUUUGGGAGUGCAGCCUAAAAUGGGUGGUAAAUUUCAUCUAAAGCUAAAUAUUGGCGAGAGACCGAUAGCGAACAAGUACCGUGAGGGAAAGAUGAAAAGAACUUUGAAAAGAGAGUUAAAAAGUACGUGAAAUUGUUGAAAGGGAACCGUUUGAAGCCAGUGUUGCUUGCCUGUGAUCAAUCUUAGCUUUGGCUUGGAUGCACUCUCAGGCUAUGCAGGUCAACGCCAGUUUUUGAGGUGUGAAAAAAGUUUGAGGAAUGUGGCCUUUGGGUGUUAUAGCCUCUUACUAAAUAGCAUCUCUUGGACUGAGGCUCGCAGCAAAAAUGUGGGUUGGUUUGCUCCUGAGUUGAAGCUUUAUCAAGACAGCUUGCUGACUUGGUUUUGUGGAAGUUUACGGUAGACCGGCUUCUAAUUUGCUUAGGUCGUUGACAUAAUGGCUUUAAAUGACCCGUCUUGAAACACGG